GAUCAGGCUCAGGAUAAACGCUGGCGGCGCACAUAAGACAUGCAAGUCGAACGGAAGUCGUUACGAAAUGGAAUGAAGAUUUAUCUGAUUGAAGUUUUGUAACAAUGGCUUUAGUGGCGGACUGGUGAGUAACACGUAAGCAAUCUACCUAUUAGAGGGGAAUAACAAUGAGAAAUCAUUGCUAAUACCGCAUAAGCUUGUAGUACCGCAUGGUACAGCAAGAAAAGGAGCAAUCCG
RNAcentral lists this ribosomal RNA (237 nucleotides) under uncultured bacterium. Its description in RNAcentral is "partial 16S ribosomal RNA". It matches the Rfam family "Bacterial small subunit ribosomal RNA", at positions 15 to 217 of the family's 1533-position model. The record is from RNAcentral.